Molecule: ribosomal RNA, 384 nt
Filed under: uncultured bacterium
Lineage: Bacteria
Description: bacterial SSU rRNA
Rfam family: Bacterial small subunit ribosomal RNA
Source: RNAcentral
UGGCAGUGGCGGACGGGUGAGUAACGCGUAGGAAUCUAUCCUUGGGUGGGGGACAACCGUGGGAAACUACGGCUAAUACCGCAUGAUCCCUGAGGGGCAAAGGCGAAAGUCGCCUGAGGAGGAGCCUGCGUCUGAUUAGGUAGUUGGUGGGGUAAAGGCCUACCAAGCCUGCGAUCAGUAGCUGGUCUGAGAGGAUGAUCAGCCACACUGGGACUGAGACACGGCCCAGACUCCUACGGGAGGCAGCAGUGGGGAAUAUUGGACAAUGGGCGCAAGCCUGAUCCAGCAAUGCCGCGUGGGUGAAGAAGGUCUUCGGAUUGUAAAGCCCUUUUGGCAGGGACGAUGAUGACGGUACCUGCAGAAUAAGCUCCGGCUAACUUCGUG